Molecule: ribosomal RNA, 944 nt
Filed under: uncultured Salana sp.
Lineage: Bacteria; Bacillati; Actinomycetota; Actinomycetes; Micrococcales; Beutenbergiaceae
Description: bacterial SSU rRNA
Rfam family: Bacterial small subunit ribosomal RNA
Source: RNAcentral
GUCCUGCAGGUUAAACGACUCGCCCUUAGAGUUUGAUCCUGGCUCAGGACGAACGCUGGCGGCGUGCUUUACACAUGCAAGUCGAACGAUGAUGACCAGCUUGCUGGUUUGAUUAGUGGCGAACGGGUGAGUAACACGUGAGUAACCUGCCCCAGACUCUGGGAUAACUCCGGGAAACCGGGGCUAAUACUGGAUAUCCAUCUCCUGCUGCAUGGUGGGGGUUGUAAAGGGUUUCUGGUCUGGGAUGGGCUCGCGGCCUAUCAGCUUGUUGGUGGGGUGAUGGCCUACCAAGGCUUUGACGGGUAGCCGGCCUGAGAGGGUGACCGGCCACACUGGGACUGAGACACGGCCCAGACUCCUACGGGAGGCAGCAGUGGGGAAUAUUGCACAAUGGGCGAAAGCCUGAUGCAGCGACGCCGCGUGAGGGAUGACGGCCUUCGGGUUGUAAACCUCUUUCAGCAGGGAAGAAGCCGCUCGCGGUGACGGUACCUGCAGAAGAAGCGCCGGCUAACUACGUGCCAGCAGCCGCGGUAAUACGUAGGGCGCAAGCGUUGUCCGGAAUUAUUGGGCGUAAAGAGCUCGUAGGCGGUUUGUCGCGUCUGCUGUGAAAUCCUCAGGCUCAACCUGGGGCGUGCAGUGGGUACGGGCAGACUAGAGUGCGGUAGGGGAGACUGGAAUUCCUGGUGUAGCGGUGGAAUGCGCAGAUAUCAGGAGGAACACCGGUGGCGAAGGCGGGUCUCUGGGCCGUAACUGACGCUGAGGAGCGAAAGCAUGGGGAGCGAACAGGAUUAGAUAACCUGGUAGUCCAUGCCGUAAACGUUGGGCACUAGGUGUGGGGUCCAUUCCACGGGUUCCGCGCCGUAGCAAACGCAUUAAGUGCCCCGCCAUGGGGAGUACGGCCGCAAGGCUAUAACUCAAAUGAAUUGACGGAAGGGCGAAUUCGC